This is a non-coding RNA of Paramuricea clavata, 290 nucleotides long. The record is from the annotation of a GenBank genome assembly. Lineage: Eukaryota; Metazoa; Cnidaria; Anthozoa; Malacalcyonacea; Plexauridae.
CCAGAGUAGCGAGCGAAACAUGAAUGAGUAAUUAUGCUUUGAAUAGGGAUGACGGUGUCUAUUUGCCAGAGGAAUAUAUGCAUCUCACUGGCAGGUGACGUCAUUCCUUGGAUAUUUAAGAAGCCACGAUUGCAAUUUUAGAUCACCCCUCAUGAAGACACUGGACUGGAGUGUCGAAACGUUGGGUCUUGAUUACAAUUCGACUGGGCUUUGUAAUCAUUUAUUUAAACCAGAGUAGCGAGUGAAACAUGAUUGAUAUACCUGGUUGCAGUGAACGCACAAACUUGGGG